Nannospalax galili (Upper Galilee mountains blind mole rat) is the source of this 123-nucleotide small nucleolar RNA. The record is from Ensembl. NCBI's taxonomy places the organism in Eukaryota, Metazoa, Chordata, Mammalia, Rodentia, Spalacidae.
UGUGCCCUUUUAAGGUUGACAUGGUACUUUAAGAGGCCAACACAGAAGGGUAAAGGAACGCUCCAUAAAACCCAGAGAAGAGACUGUGCAUCUCCUCUUUGGAUCCUGUCUGGAGUCACACUG